CAUGCAGUUCGAACGGCAGCACGGACUUCGGUUCUGGUGGCGAGUGGCGAACGGGUGAGUAAUACAUCGGAACGUACCCUGUUGUGGGGGAUAACUAGUCGAAAGAUUAGCUAAUACCGCAUACGACCUGAGGGUGAAAGUGGGGGACCGUAAGGCCUCACGCAGCAGGAGCGGCCGAUGUCUGAUUAGCUAGUUGGUGGGGUAAAGGCCCACCAAGGCGACGAUCAGUAGCUGGUCUGAGAGGACGAUCAGCCACACUGGGACUGAGACACGGCCCAGACUCCUACGGGAGGCAGCAGUGGGGAAUUUUGGACAAUGGGGGCAACCCUGAUCCAGCAAUGCCGCGUGUGUGAAGAAGGCCUUCGGGUUGUAAAGCACUUUUGUCCGGAAAGAAAUCGCUUCNGUUAAUACCUGGGGUGGAUGACGGUACCGGAAGAAUAAGCACCGGCUAACUACGUGCCAGCAGCCGCGGUAAUACGUAGGGUGCGAGCGUUAAUCGGAAUUACUGGGCGUAAAGCGUGCGCAGGCGGUUUUGUAAGACAGGCGUGAAAUCCCCCAAGCUCAACUUGGGAUUGCGCUUGUGACUGCAAGCUAAAAUAUGUCAAAG
This 607-nucleotide ribosomal RNA is filed under the name uncultured bacterium. RNAcentral's name for it is "bacterial SSU rRNA". It matches the Rfam family "Bacterial small subunit ribosomal RNA", at positions 54 to 656 of the family's 1533-position model. The record is from RNAcentral.